CUUGCUUUGGCUACUAGGAGGCUUUUAAGUCAAAUUUAAGCUCAUUUCUAGCCACCAUGUAAGACCUGGUGGCUUACAUUUAUAUACCAAAUGUAUUACGUGCUUCUUUGCCCAUUACCAUCACUUCCGAGUUUUUUGUUUUAACCUCUUGAGUACAUGUCUAUUAGUAUAAGCUGCCACACUUCCUUUAGAGUAUGAUGUGUGAGAAAUAUAAAUAAGCCUUUAUUCUAACAUUUGUAAGUAGCUUUAAGAGGGGAUAGAAUGGGAACUGAAAGUCUGAGUUUGGGCCCAGACUACAAGACUUUGAUUGGAAUGUGGCCCAUGUCUUGAGUUUGUUGCUAGGUAUGUAGCCUAACCUCCCUGAGGCUGUUUUACCCUUGUAAGAUGGGAACAUUAAUCCCUUCCUCACCGGAUUGUUAAAAUAACUAAAUUGUAAAAUGUAUGCAAAAGUGCUUACCUGGCAUGGAGUAAGUCAUUAAAAAUUGUUUUUGUUUUUAUUAGACAUGUUCUAAUAGGAACAACAUUCAUUUAAAUUUCAAAAACAUGCCCUAAUUCUGAACACUUUUUUUUUUUUGAGACUGAGUUUCUCUCUGUCGCCCAGGCUGGAGUGCAAUGGCGCAAUCUCGGCUCACUGUAGCCUCUGCCUCCCGGGUUCCAGUGAUUCUCGUGCCUCAGCUUCCCAAGUAGCUG
Molecule: long non-coding RNA, 690 nt
Filed under: Homo sapiens (human)
Lineage: Eukaryota; Metazoa; Chordata; Mammalia; Primates; Hominidae
Description: non-protein coding lnc-STRBP-8:1
Source: RNAcentral